Long non-coding RNA from Salvelinus fontinalis (brook trout), 3464 nucleotides. RefSeq lists it as uncharacterized. The record is from RefSeq and is a predicted model, not a curated record. Lineage: Eukaryota; Metazoa; Chordata; Actinopteri; Salmoniformes; Salmonidae. The transcript is spliced from 3 exons.
UAUUCUCAUAGUUUCUACAGAUUGUACAUAAAAAAUGUUUGCUAAAAGUAUUAUUUUAUUAUUGAUUGAUUGACUAUGACUUUUCAAAUCCCCCCGCAGUGCUAUUUGCAGAGUUAGCUCCAGGUAAAUGUUGCAAUUCUUCAGCCAUUCCUGGACUUCUUUAAAAGUAGCAUCAUACUGCAGCACACCUUGCGGGCUGCUACAGCAUUCUGUGGCACAUUAUUUAAUUGGCAGCCAUUUUUUCUGUUAAUGCAAGUUAGUGCUAAUUUGACCACCAGAGGGCAUCUUUGAGAAUAAUUUGAUAGUCUUCCAUAUUGGCAUUACCAGAGAAUUUAAAAACGUUUUUGUAAUAACAUAGUAUAUGGGAUUAAUUUUAAGAAAUUUGGCUUAAUUCAUUUGAUAAAUAUUAUGGUGUUUCUAUUCCGAGAAAAAUGUUUCGUUAGGAUGGAAUGUAAAAUAUGGUGCUGUACAAUGUGAGGGUUGAGAGUAGGCUACAGCAUAAGAGGAUUGGAGGAUUCUAAAUUGUUUGCCUUCAUUAGACAACAUUGUUCCAAUAUUUCCGUGAUAUUUAUUCCCAUAGUAAUUCGUUAUCGAUCCAUAAAUAAAUCAACAUCUGCAUUUUGAAAGACUAUUUUUAUUAUUAUUUUAUUAACGAAAGCAUAAAGAUGCUGAUGAAGAAAUACAGUACUGUACAGUAUAUGCUUUUACAUAUGGAAAAUAAAGCUUUUAGAAGAUAUAAGCCACCUGCAUUUGUUUAUAAGGCUACAGUGCAGUCUGACAAGUAAACAUAGCCUACAAUAGAUACCGUAGUAAACAUGGGAAAGUACCUAAUUCCUUACAUAAGGGAGAGCAGACCAUGCCUGUAGUACAUAAUGCAGGCACACGGGAGACUGGGGUUCAAUUCCCUGAUGGGACGGAAGAAGUUGGCUGUCCUUGUAAAUAAGAAUUUGUUCUUAACAGAUUCCAUAUGUGUUAUUUCAUAAUUGUGAUGUCUUCACUAUGAUUCUACAAUGUAGAAUAAUAAAGAAAAAUCCUGGAAUGAGUAGGUGUGUCCAAACUUUUGACUGGUAGUUAAUAUUAAUUAUGGUGUUUCUAUUCCAAGAAAAAUGAAAAACUCGCUGGGUUUCCGUUAGGAUGGAACGGAAAAUAUGGCACUGUACAAAGUGACCGUCGGGAGUAGGCUACAGUACUUGGCUAUUUAGCUAAAGAAUCUCUGUUUCAUGCGGGCACACGGUAGACCGUGGUUAAAUUACCCGACAGGGAGGAAAGAGUAAGCUGUACUUGUAAAUAAGAUUUUAUUCUUAACUAACUUGCCUAGUCAAAUAACUGACUUGCCUUGAGGUUACACUAAGAGCAUAGCAUUUCUGCACCCUAAUUUUCAAAUUUUUGUCUAACCAAUACCCAAACAGAGAUUAAGUGAAAAUAAAAAUCUCAUUGAUUUAUCAAGACAAGUUAUCAUGCUGUUCUCAGAGCAGCACAAAACAGUGAUAAAAUAGUUGUAGGUCUGGUCAGAUGAGACAAAAAUUUAGCUAUUUGGCCAUCAAGGAAAACGCUAUGUCUGGCGCAAACCCAACACCUCUCAUCACCCUGAGAACGCCAUACCCACAGUGAAGCAUGGUGGUGUCAGCAUCAUGCUGUGGAGAUGUGUUUUGUCGACAGGGACUGGGAAACUGGUCAGAAUUUAAGGAAUGAUGGAUGGUGCUAAAUACAGGGAAAUUCUUGAGGGAAACCUGUUUCAGUGUUCCAGAGAUUUGAGACUAGGAUAGAGGUUCACCUUCCAGCAAGACAAUGACCCUUAGCAUACUGCUAAAGCAACACUCAAGUGGUUUAAGGGGAAACAUUUAAAUGUCUUGGAAUGGCCUAGUCAAAGCCCAGACCUCCAUCCAUUUGAGAAUAGGUGGUAUGACUUAAAGAUUGCUGUACACCAGCAGAACCCAUCCAACUUGAAGGAGCUGUAGCAGUUUUGCCUUGAAGAAUGGGCAAAAAUCCCAGUGGCUAGAUGUGCCAAGCUUAUAGAGACAUACCCCAAGAGACUUGCAACUGUAAUUGCUGCAAAAGGUGGCUCUACAAAGUAUUGACUUUGGGGGGGUGAAUAGUUGUGCUCUCUCAAGUUUUCAGUUUUUUUGUCUUAUUUCUUGUUUGUUUCACAAUAAACAAUAUUUUGCUUCUUCAAAGUGGUAGGCAUGUUGUGUAAAUCAAAUGAUACAAACCCCCCAAAAAUCUAUUUUAAUUCCAGGGUUGUAAGGCAGCAAUAUAGGAAAAAUGCAAAGGGGGUGAAUACUUUCGCAAGCCACUGUAUGUCAGAGAGGUGUUUCUGGGACCACAUCGUUUCUCUCAAGACAAUGACCCAAAAACACACUGCCACCCGGGUUUGCAUUGCAAAUGAGGGCAUAAACUGGGUCAAGACGCCAGCAGAGUCUCCUGAUUUAAACCCGAUCUAACUUGUUUGGCAUCAACUGAAAACAUUCAUCCGUAGCUCUGCCAAGCAAAGAUGAACUGGUCAAGGCCAUCAAGAUGUUUUGGCUAGAUGAAUUGAUGAAACAACAAUGCAACAAAUACAUUGAUCAUCUCAGCAAGGUUUUACCUGUGGUCGUGGAGCUGGGUGGAAGUGCGACUAAAAUGUAGUUUAAAUAAACAUCAGCAUUUUAAUGUAUUUUUCUCGUUAUUUUAUUAGCAAAAGCAUAAAGAUGUUGGUGAAGAAAUAUUGUACUGCUGUUUUGAGUUAGAAAUGUAACACUUUAGACGUCUUAAGCAUCGAACACAUUGCAAGUUGGGUGAUUUUCACUCCAGUAGCCGGGCUAUAAAAAGUCUAUUGUCCUGCUAAUAGGAAACUUUUGCAUGAUGGGCUACACCUGCUACAGUACUACAGUACACUUGUGAAAACAAAUGUUUGAAAACCUGUUUUGAAAAUCCCUCCAGUUGUCCAUCACUAACGUAAAUAAAAACACAGCAUCUUUUUUACAUUCUUUAUUGUACCCACAAUGUCACAAAUCAUUUGUAUCUACCUUUCCAAUGACUUUUAGAGUUAGGGAUUUACAAAUGUGAGCUUUUCAUUAUUAGUUACAUUGUUUAAGUUUGAACGUGCAGACUUUUUUUCUUUAAUGAUGGGGGCGCUGUUGAGACUAUUUAUGCUAAUUGGGUAAUUUUUGAAACGGCUUCCCACAAAAUCCUUGAUCGUACAAUAUGCAUAUUAUUAUUAUUAUUGGAUAGAAAACAGUCUAUAGUUUCUAUAGGAGUUGAAAUUUUGUCUCUAAGUGGAACAGAGCCCAUUCUACAGCAAUUUCCCUGACAUGGAGUCAGAUUUCAGAAAUGUUGGCCACUGUUCUGAAGUCAGUUAAAAGGGCACUGUUAUUGCUAUGACUAUACGGACACUUCUUACGUCUUCCCCUGGAUGCCUUUACGUGAUGACGAUUCCAAUGGGGUCGAUUGCGCGUUCACAGGCCCUAUAAAUUAAAAAACCCUGU